Molecule: ribosomal RNA, 229 nt
Filed under: uncultured bacterium
Lineage: Bacteria
Description: partial 16S ribosomal RNA
Rfam family: Bacterial small subunit ribosomal RNA
Source: RNAcentral
CGGGGUGAGUAAUGUCUGGGAAACUGCCUGAUGGAGGGGGAUAACUACUGGAAACGGUAGCUAAUACCGCAUAGCGUCGCAAGACCAAAGAGGGGGACCUUCGGGCCUCUUGCCAUCGGAUGUGCCCAGAUGGGAUUAGCUAGUAGGUGGGGUAACGGCUCACCUAGGCGACGAUCCCUAGCUGGUCUGAGAGGAUGACCAGCCACACUGGAACUGAGACACGGUCCAG